This 437-nucleotide ribosomal RNA is filed under the name Ustilaginales sp. RNAcentral describes it as "SSU rRNA". It matches the Rfam family "Eukaryotic small subunit ribosomal RNA", at positions 1341 to 1791 of the family's 1831-position model. The record is from RNAcentral. Lineage: Eukaryota; Fungi; Basidiomycota; Ustilaginomycetes; Ustilaginales.
CCUUGACCUGCUAAAUAGACGGGUUGACAUUUUGUUGGCCCCUUAUGUCUUCUUAGAGGGACUAUCGACCGUCUAGGUGAUGGAGGCAAAAGGCAAUAACAGGUCUGUGAUGCCCUUAGAUGUUCCGGGCUGCACGCGCGCUACACUGACAGAGACAACGAGUGGGGCCCCUUGUCCGAAAUGACUGGGUAAACUUGUGAAACUUUGUCGUGCUGGGGAUGGAUCUUUGUAAUUUUUGCUCUUCAACGAGGAAUUCCUAGUAAGCGCAAGUCAUCAGCUUGCGUUGACUACGUCCCUGCCCUUUGUACACACCGCCCGUCGCUACUACCGAUUGAAUGGCUUAGUGAGGACUUGGGAGAGUACAUCGGGGAGCCAGCAAUGGCACCCUGACGGCUCAAACUCUUACAAACUUGGUCAUUUAGAGGAAGUAAAAGUCG